UGGGGAAUAUUUGGCAAUGAGCGAAAGCUUGACCAAGCAAUACCGCGUGGAGGAUGACUGCUUUAGGGUUGUAAACUCCUUUUCUGAUUGAGGAAGUUCUGACAGUAUUUCAGGAAUAAGCAUCGGCUAACUUCGUGCCAGCAGCCGCGGUAAUACGGGGGAUGCAAGCGUUAUCCGGAUUUAUUGGGCGUAAAGCGUUCGUAGAUGGUUUUUUAAGUUUAAUGUUAAAUCCCAAGGCUCAACCUUGAAAAUGCAUUAAAAACUGGACGACUUUAGUGCAAUAGGGGUAAAGGGAAUUUCCAGUGUAGCGGUGAAAUGCGUAGAUAUUGGAAAGAACGCCUACAGCGAAAGCACUUUACUGGGUUGCUACUGAAAUUGAGGAACGAAAGCUAGGGGAGCA
RNAcentral lists this ribosomal RNA (400 nucleotides) under uncultured bacterium. RNAcentral's name for it is "bacterial SSU rRNA". It matches the Rfam family "Bacterial small subunit ribosomal RNA", at positions 355 to 770 of the family's 1533-position model. The record is from RNAcentral.